UACAGAGGGGGCAAGCGUUGUUCGGAAUUACUGGGCGUAAAGGGCGCGUAGGUGGCCUUCUAAGUUGAACGUGAAAUCCCUGGGCUCAACCCAGGAACUGCGUCCAAGACUGGGAGGCUUGAAUCCGGGAGAGGGAUGCGGAAUUCCAGGUGUAGCGGUGAAAUGCGUAGAUAUCUGGAGGAACACCGGUGGUGAAGGCGGCAUCCUGGACCGGUAUUGACGCUGAUGAGCGAAAAGCUAGGGUAGCAAACAGG
This 254-nucleotide ribosomal RNA is filed under the name uncultured bacterium. RNAcentral's name for it is "partial 16S ribosomal RNA". It matches the Rfam family "Bacterial small subunit ribosomal RNA", at positions 524 to 776 of the family's 1533-position model. The record is from RNAcentral.